AUCCAGUUGACGAGUCUCAGAUAGGACGAAACGUGCGUCCUGGAU
Molecule: non-coding RNA, 45 nt
Filed under: Schistosoma mattheei
Lineage: Eukaryota; Metazoa; Platyhelminthes; Trematoda; Strigeidida; Schistosomatidae
Source: RNAcentral